This 1374-nucleotide long non-coding RNA is filed under the name Sus scrofa (pig). Its description in RNAcentral is "lncRNA (ENSSSCG00015049384.1)". Lineage: Eukaryota; Metazoa; Chordata; Mammalia; Artiodactyla; Suidae. The record is from RNAcentral.
GUGAUCCCCAGAGACGCACAGCAGCCAUCCACAAUGGGCCCUCGGUUUAUCUCCAUGGCAGGCUCUUCCCCUGCAAAGGAAACCAGCCCAAGUGCAGGGGAUGCCGGAGCUGGGACCCUCCACCUCCGGGCCAGGGCAGGGUGGAAGAUUGAAGAUGUGCUGGACACUCCCCAGGUCUUCAUCCCUUCCCCCACCGCCCCCAGGUGAAUCUGCAAAUGAUGAGGACAGACCAUAGCUGGAUACCAUCAGAGUCCCCUGACCUGCUAUUUCGAUGUGCAAAUCCUGGCUGGUAAAGAGAAUUGGGAUCGGGGCACUGAGGCAGGUAAGUGUAGGGCUAGUACUGGGAGAGUGUGCGUGGGUGGAGAGGGGCGAGUGUGCCUAGACUUGGUUUCUGUGGCUCCCAGAGACCCGGUAGGUUGGUACUCACUGCCUCUACUUGCAUUGUUCAUGCGAGGAUGCUUUCGGGCUAGAGACGGCACCAGGAUCUGCUUUUCAGGCUACAAUUCAUUUAAAGGGGUAUAGAAGGGUCCCUGGCAGGAUCUAGGGGAACCAUGCCCUCAGUGGCUAUUUUGCAAAUCAGGACUAAAUCAUGGAGCCAGUUUCGGUUGCAUGAAAUCAUCAUAUUCGGAGUUCUGUUGGGGCUCAGCGGUCACGACCCCAACUAGUAUCUGUGACUACAUGGCUUUGAUGCCUGCAUUCGCUCAGUGUGCUAAGAAUCUAGUGUUGCCCUGAGCUGUGGUGUAGGUCGCCGUCAUGGCUCGGAUCCCACAUUGCUAUGACUGUGGUGUAGGCCAGCAGCCGAGGCUCUGGUUUGACCCCUAGCCUGGGAACUUCCAUAUACUGCAGGUGCAGCCCUAAAAAGCAAAAAAAAAAAACAAAAAAAAAAAAAAAAAAAAAGGAAAAGAAAGAAAUACUGUAUUCUUUCUCACCUUAAGUCUUUUUUUCUCUCUGUCUAGAACUCUAUACCGUCUCUCUUUUUCUUUUUCCCCUUACUUUGCCUACCUAAUUUUAUCCACCCAUCAAAUCUUGGUCAAUUUUUCCAAGUUUGGGCUCUGAGUUUGGACCUGGUGGCCCAACUCUAUGCCUCUCAAUACCCUAUUCUUCCUCCAGUUGUUAAUAUUCAUCACACGAUGUAUUCUCCUCUUUUUGACUGGAGUAUAAUUUCCCCAAAGGCAGGAAACUUAACCUAUUCUAACCUCAGAUCAAACAAAUUGACUUAAAUAGGAGUUCCUUGUGGCUUAGCAGGUUAAGGGUUAAGAAUCCAGCAUUGUCACUGCAGUGGCUUGGGUUUAUUCCCUGGCCUGGGAACGUCUGCAUGCUGCAAGAGUGGCCAAAACAAAUAAAACAAAACAAAAAAUUGACUUAAAUGAUGAA